RNAcentral lists this ribosomal RNA (1263 nucleotides) under Phytophthora pseudokernoviae. RNAcentral's name for it is "Phytophthora sp. LS-2018b partial large subunit ribosomal RNA". It matches the Rfam family "Eukaryotic large subunit ribosomal RNA", at positions 65 to 1118 of the family's 3401-position model. Lineage: Eukaryota; Oomycota; Peronosporomycetes; Peronosporales; Peronosporaceae. The record is from RNAcentral.
CUAACAAGGAUUCCCCUAGUAACGGCGAGUGAAGCGGGAAGAGCUCAAGCUUAAAAUCUCUGCGCAAGUUUUGCGUGGCGAAUUGUAGUCUAUAGAAGCGUGGUCAGCGCGGGCGCUUGGGGUAAGUUCCUUGGAAGAGGACAGCAUGGAGGGUGAUACUCCCGUUCAUACCUGAGUGGCUUGUGCGUACGACCCGUUUUCUUUGAGUCGCGUUGUUUGGGAAUGCAGCGCAAAGUAGGUGGUAAAUUCCAUCUAAAGCUAAAUAUUGGUGCGAGACCGAUAGCGAACAAGUACCGUGAGGGAAAGAUGAAAAGAACUUUGAAAAGAGAGUUAAAGAGUACCUGAAACUGCUGAAAGGGAACCGAAUCGUUUCCAGUGUCUAUAAUCUGUGGCAUAUUUCAUUGGCGAGUGUGUGCGUGCGUGUGCUUUGGCAGUGGCUUUUUUGGCUGCGCUGGGUGCGUGUUGUGCGUGUGUUUGCUGGUGCCCUGUGCUAUGGUGGGACGUCAAGGUCAGUUCGUGUGCUGCGGGAAAUGGCUGCUGAGGAGGUAGGGCUUACGCUUUGCGUUUGUCUAUUAUAUCUUGGUGGACGAGUCGUCGCGGUUGGGACUGAGGUGCCUACAACGUGCUUUUGAGUCUGUGGAACUCUCUGUGUGCGUGCUGUGUGGAUAGCUUGCUAUGUGCGUGGUGCUGUACGUGGAUUGAGGUCUGCUGUAACUUGUUGCCGUUCGGGACGUUGACGAAAUGGAGCGAUCCGACCCGUCUUGAAACACGGACCAAGGAGUCUAACAUGUGUGCAAGUGUUAGGGUGUGGAAACCCAAGCGCGAAAUGAAAGUGAAGGGCAGCGCAAGUUGUCUGAGGUAGGAAACGUGUGGCCUUUCGGGGCUGUGCGUGGCACUAUCGACCGAUCAUGAACCUUCGUGGUGAAAGAUUUGAGUUUGAGCACAUAUGUUGGUACCCGAAAGAUGGUGAACUAUGCCUGAGUAGGGUGAAGCCAGGGGAAACUCUGGUGGAAGCUCGUAGCGAUUCUGACGUGCAAAUCGAUCGUCAAACUUGGGUAUAGGGGCGAAAGACUAAUCGAACCAUCUAGUAGCUGGUUCCCUCCGAAAUUUCCCUCAGGAUAGCAGCAACUUUUUUACGAUAGUUUUAUGAGGUAAAGCGAAUGAUUAGAGGAUUCGGGGAAGAAACUUCCUCGACCUAUUCUCAAACUUUAAAUCUGUAAGACCUGCCGGUUUCUUAAUUGAACUGGCGGAUGUGAAUAUCAA